UACCAAUGGUAAGGACACAUACUCAACAACUCCUUAAACCUCUCCCAAGCCUGAUACAAAGACUCACUAUCCUUUUGUGCAAAGGAGGAGAUUUUCCUCUUUAAAGCA
Molecule: small nucleolar RNA, 108 nt
Organism: Carya illinoinensis
Lineage: Eukaryota; Viridiplantae; Streptophyta; Magnoliopsida; Fagales; Juglandaceae
Source: RefSeq, a predicted model, not a curated record